GUGCCAGCCGCCGCGGUAAUACGAAGGGGGCUAGCGUUGUUCGGAAUCACUGGGCGUAAAGGGCGCGUAGGCGGCUGUUCAAGUCGGGGGUGAAAUCCCGUGGCUCAACCACGGAAUGGCCUUCGAUACUGGACGGCUCGAGACCGGAAGAGGUGAGUGGAACUGCGAGUGUAGAGGUGAAAUUCGUAGAUAUUCGCAAGAACACCAGUGGCGAAGGCGGCUCACUGGUCCGGUUCUGACGCUGAGGCGCGAAAGCGUGGGGAGCAAACAGGAUUAGAUACCCCUGUAGUCC
Molecule: ribosomal RNA, 292 nt
Filed under: uncultured bacterium
Lineage: Bacteria
Description: partial 16S ribosomal RNA
Rfam family: Bacterial small subunit ribosomal RNA
Source: RNAcentral